AUGUGGGUUCAUGGUGGUGAAGGUGGGGGGUUGCCAUGGUGAUGGUGGUGGCCAUGGGUUUCGAGGCUGAGGUUUCUGGGUUGCCGUGGGGUUUCUAGGGUUUAUUUGGAAGAGAGCUGAAAAUGAGAGAGAGGAGAGAGAUGAGAGAGAAAAGAUAUAAUUUUGAUAUAUAUUAUUUUAUUUUGUAAA
Long non-coding RNA from Quercus robur (English oak), 189 nucleotides. RefSeq lists it as uncharacterized. The record is from RefSeq and is a predicted model, not a curated record. The transcript has 2 exons. NCBI's taxonomy places the organism in Eukaryota, Viridiplantae, Streptophyta, Magnoliopsida, Fagales, Fagaceae.